CAGAAGGGGCUCUUAGUUUAUGAGUGAGGAGUUUAUACAAGAUCUUGCUGGAGACUAGCCCUGUUAGAUUUGGUGUACUCCAGGGAGCAAGGAUCAUUUUCUUCUGCCAACAUGCUUUCUGCCACCUGCUCAGUUCUUGUGAUCUUAAUACUCAGAGGGACCAGUGGAGACUCAGUGACCCAGACAGAAGGCCCAAUCACACUCUCAGAGGGGGCACCUGUGAUCCUGAACUGCACUUACCAGACCAGUUAUUCAGCUCCUUUCCUUUUCUGGUAUGUCCAGUAUCCCAAUAAAGCUCCUCAACUCCUCCUGAAGAGCUCAAUAGAAAACCAGAGGACAGAGCAUCAAGGUUUUCAGGCCGAUCUUCUUAUGAGUGAUAGCUCCUUCCACCUGCAGAAACCCUCAGUGCAAAUGUCAGACUCGGCCGUGUACUACUGCGCUCUGAGAGACACAGUGAGGGGGACUGCAGGGGGAGCUGAAUACAAACCCAGAGGGCACAGGAGGGGCUGA
This is a non-coding RNA of Diceros bicornis minor, 510 nucleotides long. NCBI's taxonomy places the organism in Eukaryota, Metazoa, Chordata, Mammalia, Perissodactyla, Rhinocerotidae. The record is from the annotation of a RefSeq genome assembly.